UACGUAGGGGGCUAGCGUUGUCCGGAAUCAUUGGGCGUAAAGAGCGUGUAGGCGGUCCGGUAAGUCGGUUGUGAAAGCCCAGGGCUCAACCCUGGGAUGCCGACCGAUACUGUCGGACUAGAGUUCGGAAGAGGCGAGUGGAAUUCCCGGUGUAGCGGUGAAAUGCGCAGAUAUCAGGAGGAACACCGGUGGUGAAGGCGGGUCUCUGGGCCGUAACUGACGCUGAGGAGCGAAAGCGUGGGGAGCGAACAGG
RNAcentral lists this ribosomal RNA (253 nucleotides) under uncultured bacterium. RNAcentral describes it as "partial 16S ribosomal RNA". It matches the Rfam family "Bacterial small subunit ribosomal RNA", at positions 524 to 776 of the family's 1533-position model. The record is from RNAcentral.